RNAcentral lists this ribosomal RNA (478 nucleotides) under uncultured bacterium. RNAcentral describes it as "partial 16S ribosomal RNA". It matches the Rfam family "Bacterial small subunit ribosomal RNA", at positions 28 to 523 of the family's 1533-position model. The record is from RNAcentral.
GACGAACGCUGGCGGCGUGCUUAACACAUGCAAGUCGAACGGUAAGGUCCUUCGGGGUACACGAGUGGCGAACGGGUGAGUAACACGUGGGUGCUCUGCCCUGCACUUCGGGAUAAGCCUGGGAAACUGGGUCUAAUACCGGAUAGGACCCUGGGAUGCAUGUCCUGGGGUGGAAAGCUGUUGCGGUGUGGGAUGGGCCCGCGGCCGAUCAGCUUGGUGGUGGGGUGAUGGCCUACCAAGGCGACGACGGGUAGGCGGCCUGAGGGGGUGACCGGCCACACUGGGACUGAGAUACGGCCCAGACUCCUACGGGAGGCAGCAGUGGGGAAUAUUGCACAAUGGGCGCAAGCCUGAUGCAGCGACGCCGCGUGAGGGAUGACGGCCUUCGGGUUGUAAACCUCUUUCAGCACCGACGAAGCGCAAGUGACGGUAGGUGCAGAAGGAGGACCGGCCAACUACGUGCCAGCAGCCGCGGUAA